RNAcentral lists this ribosomal RNA (468 nucleotides) under uncultured bacterium. RNAcentral's name for it is "partial 16S ribosomal RNA". It matches the Rfam family "Bacterial small subunit ribosomal RNA", at positions 28 to 507 of the family's 1533-position model. The record is from RNAcentral.
GACGAACGCUGGCGGCGUGCUUAACACAUGCAAGUCGAACGGAAAGGCCCUGCUUUUGUGUGUUUCUCGAUUGGCGAACGGGUGUGUAACACGUGAGUAACCUGCCCUUGACUUUGUGAUAACUUCAGGAAACUGGGGCUAAUACCGGAUAGGAUCUCCUGCUGCAUGUUGUGGGUUAGAAAGUUUCGGCGGUUGGGUAUGGACUCGCUGCUUAUCAGCUUGUUGGUGGGGUAGUGGCUUACCAAGGCUUUGACGGGUAGCCGGCCUGAGAGGGUGACCGGGCACAUUGGGCCUGAGAUACGGACCAGACUCCUACGGGACGCAGCAGUGGGGAAUAUUGCACAAUGGGCGGAAGCGUGAUGCAGAAACGCCGCGUGCGGGAUGACGGCCUUCGGGUUGUAAACAGAUUUCGACUGUGACGAAGCGUGAGUGACGGUAAUGGGUAAAGAAGCACCGGCUAACUACGUG